GUCGCCUGAUGAUGAUGUCGGCCGCCUUGCGUGUGCCCGGAAGCGUGCCUUGGUGGCCGGAGGACGCGCGGAGGCAGCUCCUGCGUCCAGGCCUCGGGCUGGUGGUCGCGCGAUUUGGGGUGGUUUUCCGGGAGAAGUUUCAAGCCCAUCUUGUGCCUCAUUUCAAGGAGGAAACAGGGAAUUCCCUGGUGGUGCAGUGGUUAAGAAUCCGCCUGCCAAUGCAGGGGACACGGGUUUGAUCCCUGGUCCAGGAAGAUCCCACAUGCUGCAGAGCAACUAAGCCCAUGUGCCACAACUACUGAGCCUGCACUCUAGAGCUGGCGUGAUACAACUACUGAGCCCACGUGCCACAACUACUGAAGCCCGUGCACGUAGAGCCCGUGCUCCGCAACAAGAGAAGCCACCGUGAUGAGAAGCCCGUGCACCGCAACGAAGAGUAGCCCCCGCUCGCUGCAACUAGAGAAAGCCCACGCACAGCAACGAAGACCCAACGCAGCCAACAAAAUAAGUAAAUAAAAAAUAAAUUAAUUUUUAAAAAAGAAUUAAAAAA
Molecule: long non-coding RNA, 550 nt
Organism: Balaenoptera ricei (Rice's whale)
Lineage: Eukaryota; Metazoa; Chordata; Mammalia; Artiodactyla; Balaenopteridae
Exons: 3
Source: RefSeq, a predicted model, not a curated record